This is an unclassified non-coding RNA of Pongo abelii (Sumatran orangutan), 153 nucleotides long. It matches the Rfam family "Metazoan signal recognition particle RNA". From Rfam's summary of the family: The signal recognition particle (SRP) is a universally conserved ribonucleoprotein. It is involved in the co-translational targeting of proteins to membranes. NCBI's taxonomy places the organism in Eukaryota, Metazoa, Chordata, Mammalia, Primates, Hominidae. The record is from Ensembl.
GCCAGGCAUGGUGGGGCAUGCCUAUAGUCCCAGUUACUCAGGAGGCUGAGGCAGGAGGAUCACUUGAGCCCAGGAGGUCAAGGCUGCAGUUAGCUGAGAUCAUAUCAUGCCACUGCACUCCAGCCUGGGCAACAGAGGGAGACCCUGUCUCAA